GGGGGUACAGGGGACCCGGGGGGCAGCCUGAUCCGCCCUGCCGCGUGCAGGAUGACGGCCUUCGGGUUGUAAACUGCUUUUGUACGGAACGAAAAGGUUUUGUUCUAAUACACUGGGGGCGUAUUGACGGUACCGUAAGACGUAAGCACCGGCUUAACCUACGUGCCAGCAGCCGCGGUAAUACGUAGGGUGCAAGCGUUAAUCGGAAUUACUUGGGCGUAAAGCGUGCGCAGGCGGUUAUAUAAGACAGAUGUGAAAAUCCCCGGGCUCAAACCUGGGAAACUGCAUUAGUGACUGUAUAGCUAGAGUGCGGCAGAGGGGGAUGGAAUUCCGCGUGUAGCAGUGAAAUGCGUAGAUAUGCGGAGGAACACCGAUGGCGAAGGCAAUCCCCUGGGCCUGCACUGACGCUCAUGCACGAAAAGCGUGGGGAGCAAACAGGAUUAGAUACCCUGGUAGUCCACGCCCUAAACGAUGUCAACUGGUUGUUGGGUCUUUACUGACUCAGUAACGAAGCUAACGCGUGAAGUUGACCGCCUGGGGAGUACG
RNAcentral lists this ribosomal RNA (546 nucleotides) under uncultured bacterium. RNAcentral describes it as "bacterial SSU rRNA". It matches the Rfam family "Bacterial small subunit ribosomal RNA", at positions 355 to 884 of the family's 1533-position model. The record is from RNAcentral.